UCUAUUUGCUCUUUCAAUUUCUCAUUCCUUUGUCUUGCAGUUCAGCGAAAGCUACCAUUCUUAUUCAGAAGGGAGAUGCAGAGAGAAAGAGAAAAUGCAAGAAAAGAAAAAGAAAAAAAGAGCGAGACGAGAAAGGAAACACAGCUGAGGAGAUGCCUUCGAUGCAAAUAUUAAGCAAAGCUACAACAGUAAUUCAUCCUGCACACCUCCUCAGACUGAAAACCAUUAUCUACCGGCACUCAUGACUACUGCAAAGAUACAUAAAUUUUCUUUUUUGGUCAGAGCAAUAGAAUGCAGAAAUCCUGGAGAAGACCAAGAUGCGUUUGAAAACAAAUUUGUUAAUGCAGAAAAAGAUCAGAAGGAGCAGGCUAUAUUAUGCUGAAUCUGAUUUUCAGUUUACUCCAUAAGCAUUAUUUUGACUAGCUGCAGCUGCAUUAAGAAGGCAACAAACAUGGCUAAUUUAAAAGGCAGACACCGUCUCUUCAAAACAUUGAAGUUUUCAACAUUCCGUCUCUAAAAUGAGGAACACUACCUUUCAUACUGUGGAACAAACGGGCAAAACGUGAAACACCUACUAGCAGCUUACUAACAACUUCGACUAGGAAGCUCACAGGAUGGUUAAAACGUGCUACUUAUAAAAAGUUAUUUUGAUGAAAUAAUAUGAUCCAGCACGAUUUACCAUGGAUACAUCAUAACACCGAAUGUGUGACAGACCCUUUCAGUAUUGAACUUUGAGGAAUAUGGGCCUUUUAAGACCCCAAAUGAGGAAUGCUUGUUCAUAAUGAGGUACAUUUGAGAGGUAUGUGCCUUUCGACGAUUCCGUUAACAUUGAUAUCUUGAGGGUGGUAGUGCGGAAUACUUCUCAACUUCCUUUGAUUUUGCCUCAUAUUUUUGUCCUGGACCUCGUAAUAUAUAUAUUUUUUUAUUUUUGUGGUAAAUUAUCAGUGUUUACAGUUAAACAAUAAUGCCAGCGCAGACAAUGGAGUUUCCUAGUUCUUAGUGUUCUGAAAAAAAUGUAUAUUGAUGCGAGACCUGCAGUGUUAUAUUUUUAAGAGAAUGAGGAUAAUAUGUAAAAGAAAGUGCCCGAUUUAGACCCCCUACACACACACACACACACACACACACACACACACACACACACACACACACUUUAUUUUCGGCUUUAUUCAGCGUUCUUGAGCAAACAAAUUGAGAGGUAUGGAUGGUGGGGUGCUUGUUACAGCAAUGGGAACCUGACAACAGUCUGCUCUAUUGUGUAAAGUCAGUAUU
Protopterus annectens (West African lungfish) is the source of this 1269-nucleotide long non-coding RNA. RefSeq lists it as uncharacterized. The record is from RefSeq and is a predicted model, not a curated record. Lineage: Eukaryota; Metazoa; Chordata; Ceratodontiformes; Protopteridae. The transcript is spliced from 5 exons.